CGAGUUGGCCGGGCAGUCGCUGUUGGAUGCUGUUUCAGUAUCUGGUGGAGGAAAGUCCGGGCUCCAUAGGGUGUGGCGCCAGGUAACGCCUGGGAGGCGAAAGCCUACGGAAAGUGCAGCAGAGAGCAGACCGCCUAAGUCACCAGCUGGUGACCGGUAAGGGUGAAAGGGUGCGGUAAGAGCGCACCGCGUGACUGGUAACAGUUCACGGCAUGGUAAACCCCGCCUGGAGCAAGACCAAAUAGGAAUCCUAGAGGUGUGGCCCGCACUGGAUUCGGGUAGGUUGCUUGAGGUGUCUGGUGACAGGCAUCCCAGAUGAAUGAUUGCCCAGACCUGUUUUACAGGUUGGACAGAACCCGGCUUACAGGCCAGCUCGAGAC
RNAcentral lists this RNase P RNA (380 nucleotides) under Endozoicomonas numazuensis. Its description in RNAcentral is "Bacterial RNase P class A". It matches the Rfam family "Bacterial RNase P class A". From Rfam's summary of the family: Ribonuclease P (RNase P) is a ubiquitous endoribonuclease, found in archaea, bacteria and eukarya as well as chloroplasts and mitochondria. Its best characterised activity is the generation of mature 5'-ends of tRNAs by cleaving the 5'-leader elements of precursor-tRNAs. Cellular RNase Ps are ribonucleoproteins. The record is from Rfam by way of RNAcentral. Lineage: Bacteria; Pseudomonadati; Pseudomonadota; Gammaproteobacteria; Oceanospirillales; Endozoicomonadaceae.